UCAUAGCUCAGUUGGGAGAGCACCUGCCUUACAAGCAGGGGGUCACAGGUUCAAGUCCUGUUGAGA
This 66-nucleotide transfer RNA is filed under the name Fusobacterium mortiferum. It matches the Rfam family "tRNA", at positions 5 to 66 of the family's 71-position model. From Rfam's summary of the family: Transfer RNA (tRNA) molecules are approximately 80 nucleotides in length. Their secondary structure includes four short double-helical elements and three loops (D, anti-codon, and T loops). Further hydrogen bonds mediate the characteristic L-shaped molecular structure. tRNAs have two regions of fundamental functional importance: the anti-codon, which is responsible for specific mRNA codon recognition, and the 3' end, to which the tRNAs corresponding amino acid is attached (by aminoacyl-tRNA synthetases). tRNAs cope with the degeneracy of the genetic code in two manners: having more than one tRNA (with a specific anti-codon) for a particular amino acid; and 'wobble' base-pairing, i.e. permitting non-standard base-pairing at the 3rd anti-codon position. Lineage: Bacteria; Fusobacteriati; Fusobacteriota; Fusobacteriia; Fusobacteriales; Fusobacteriaceae. RNAcentral also lists the same sequence under 1 other name. The record is from RNAcentral.